UUUUUUUUCCUACAACUCUAUUUUGCUGGGCUAUUUCAAACAUUGCUCUAAUCAGGAAACAAUUUAAAUAAUUUAAUUUUUGGAAUUCCAUAACAUUGGAUAUGUUUAGUCUCAACACAGUGCAUACGCUUCUAGUUACUGUGAGGAUAGCUUUCACGCUGAUGCCACUAGUUUUCUCAUUCCCAUAAUGCUAGUCUGACAUUCUUGGACAAUUCUACGUGAUAAUAAAACACAGACAGUCAAUGACAUCUAACAUUACUGAAGACAAUUUGCUAACAUUGUGGGCUAUAUUUGACCAUAUUGGGAAGUGACAGAGUGAGUCAGGAAAAAAAUAAAUAAUCCUGGUCUACUCCUUUGAACCUUCAGGGUGCAUUUGCAGGAUCUGCACCCCGGAUCUGAACCAGAGCAACCCAGAGCUGCAGGUCCCAUUUGUUGGCUAAGGUGGGGGAUUUUGCUUGAAGGGACUCUGAUGCUACAACCUGCUCCAUUCAGAAAAGCCUGGAUACUUGGUACACAGCGAAGGCUACUGAGGAACCGCCCUUUCAUAUUUCAUUUGGAGCCACUUGUACCUUUUGAAUGAAAUUUGGUUGUAGAAGGAGCAUGGAGGAAAGGACCCCGUAAAAUGGCAGCCAAGGCCAGUGGCACUGAAUUUCCACCAUCUAUGGCUCAAAGGUCUUCGAGUACACAGGCCUACAGAGAAUAAAGGAAAAGCCACUCGCUUUUCAUGACGAAUCUGUCCAUGGGGAGGAUUCCCAAACCAGAAGAGUCAGACUCAGCCCCAGGACCUGUGCAGGAGAUGGGAACGUGACAGUAAAAACUGUGCAGGGCAGCUUUUGUACACGCUGCUUAUUGAAAAACGUAUCACUGAGUAAUAUUCAGCAAUAUUUAAUGAACUGAAUGCAGAAGUCUUUUAACAGAGGAAGUAUGUUAAAGUGCGAACUCAAGCGUAGCAAACUCAGUUUCGAUAUCUAACAGAUGAUCUGUUUAUACCAUAAUACUCCCAUGAGACUGGGCAGCAACAGCAAAGGGCAGGAAAGCUGAAGGGUUUUAGGAGAGCUGCAUUAGUACUGGCAUGUGGAGAGAUGGAAGCACAGAUGAUUUUGUCCAAAAAAAAAAAAAAGAUUGAAUUUCUAUGUAAAGCCAAUAUUUUCAAAAAAGCCCUAUUUAUACAAAACCAACAAAUCUGCUCCAAGGAGACACACAAAGAGAUGACUGCAAAAUAAAGCUCACUUCUAUUUACCCA
Cygnus olor (mute swan) is the source of this 1243-nucleotide long non-coding RNA. RefSeq lists it as uncharacterized. The transcript has 3 exons. Lineage: Eukaryota; Metazoa; Chordata; Aves; Anseriformes; Anatidae. The record is from RefSeq and is a predicted model, not a curated record.